GACGAACGCUGGCGGCGUGCCUAACACAUGCAAGUCGAACGGAGAUAUGAUUUCGGUUAUAUCUUAGUGGCGAACGGGUGAGUAACGCGUGAGCAACCUGACUCUUAGAGGGGGAUAACACUCGGAAACGGGUGCUAAUACCGCAUAAUGCGAGAGGUUCACAUGGACUUUUCGCCAAAGAUUUAUCGGUAUGGGAUGGGCCUGCGUCUGAUUAGCUAGUUGGAGGGGUAACGGCCUACCAAGGCAACGAUCAGUAGCCGACCUG
This 265-nucleotide ribosomal RNA is filed under the name uncultured bacterium. RNAcentral describes it as "partial 16S ribosomal RNA". It matches the Rfam family "Bacterial small subunit ribosomal RNA", at positions 28 to 294 of the family's 1533-position model. The record is from RNAcentral.